AACGAACGCUGGCGGCAGGCUUAACACAUGCAAGUCGAGCGCCCCGCACGGGGAGCGGCAGACGGGUGAGUAACGCGUGGGAAUCUACCCAUCACUACGGAACAACUCCGGGAAACUGGAGCUAAUACCGUACACGUCCUUCGGGAGAAAGAUUUAUCGGUGAUGGAUGAGCCCGCGUUGGAUUAGCUAGUGGGUGGGGUAAUGGCCCAACUAGGCGACGAGCCAUAGCUGGGCUGAGAGGAUGAUCAGCCACACUGGGACUGAGAAACGGCCCAGACUCCUACGGGAGGCAGCAGUGGGGAAUAUUGGACAAUGGGCGCAAGCCUGAUCCAGCCAUGCCGCGUGAGUGAUGAAGGCCCUAGGGUUGUAAAGCUCUUUCACCGGUGAAGAUAAUGACAGUAACCGGAGAAGAAGCCCCGGCUAACUUCGUGCCAGCAGCCGCGGUAA
RNAcentral lists this ribosomal RNA (447 nucleotides) under uncultured bacterium. Its description in RNAcentral is "partial 16S ribosomal RNA". It matches the Rfam family "Bacterial small subunit ribosomal RNA", at positions 29 to 523 of the family's 1533-position model. The record is from RNAcentral.